CCAAAGCAAAUGUGCCUACGGGUAGUGGGGGGCCGCUCCCCUCCCUGCCCAGAUGGAAUCAAAGGCAAACAGGAACCCUAGAGGGCCCAGCUGUGACCCUUGCUCCCCACACUCAGCAAGGCCCAUUAACUCCAUCCUUCCCGUAAUCCUUAACAUCCUUUUCCCAGCCCAAAGAAUCUCUAGAAACAGACCCACCUGCUAUUUUCUGAUCAGAUGCUGUCCAAGAAGGGACAGGUAUCUGCAAGUCUCACCCCCCACCCUACCUUUCUCCCCCAAAGAUACCCAGACCUUGUCCCGCUUUUCACGGGGCUCUCCGUAAGAAAUUGAACUAGUGGCUGUCCAAACCCUGUGCCCUUCUUGCUUCUGUGCCAAGAGUCUAGGGCUCAGACUCGUUUCUGUGGGUCAUACUAAUAACCAAAAUAGGAGUCCCUGUCCCCCUGACUCUCCUUCUGAACCCAGGCCUCCGGCUGGGGGUCGCUGCUCAGACCACUGCAAGUAUGUCUCCCAUUCGCCUGGGCCAAGCCGCGAGCUGAGGCAGAAGUCAGCUGGAAUCCGGGCAUCAUCAGAGCUGCAAAGGGACCUCAGAGGUUUUUCUAGCCCUGCUCUUUGUUAUUCAGAUGCGGAGGCAGAGUGGGGACGCCUCUUGUCCACGGUCACACAGCUGCUUGGUGGCCCCACUAGGACCAGCCUCAGCUGGCCUGACUUGUAGGCAUGUACCCUUGGCAACAGACCACGGUGGGGACAGCAGGCGGGCAGGUGGGAAGACGGGCACAGGACAGCCCUGGACCAUGGUGCUGAGAAAGGCAGUUGACAAAGGGACCCUGGGCCACACCUGUUACUCCUUUCCUUUUUUUUUAAUUUUUUAAUUUUUUAUUAUUUUUUUUGUUUUUGCUCCUUCCUUUUUUCUCCCUGAGGCUUCCCCCUGCGUGUCUAGGUAGGCCCCCCGCCACGGAGCUGUCCAAACCCAGAGGGCAGUAAAGAGGGCAAGAAGACAUGCACCUGGAACAGAGCCAGAGAGAUGGAGGAAAAUUCUUCCGGGUGUUCUUUUCUCUUCUACAUUUUCUGAAUUCCUUAUAAUGUGGCUUUAACAAUAAAAAGGAUAAUAAGAAUAAUUUGGGGGAAAGAAUAAAGAUGACAGAAGCAAGGAGAGAGAGGAAGAGGACAUUAGAAUCUAUUUUGAGUAGAUUGAAAAGAAAGAUCAGACAGAAAACAGAGGAGCAGACAUCAAGGAAGAGAGAGAGGGAAAAUUCAACAGCGUCCUUGGGGUCCAGUAGGGAAACUGAGGCGUCCCAGGCCUUGGACAGCCAUUCUGUGGCUCUGAGCUCAACCUUCCCCACCACAAGGUCACCACACUCUUUGGGAAGCGAGAGGAGAGAGGAAGAGGAGAAAGAGGCACCCUUUCUGGGCUCCUGGCAUGGCUACCCCAGCCAGCCCAGGCUCCCUGUCCACCCCAUCACCCCAAGGCUGUCGCCCUGCGCAAGAAGAGAAUUUUCUCCCACUCGGCAGAAGCCCUGGAAAUGGAGAGGAGGAGGGAAGCGGGGUAGGACAGACUGCGCAGAGAGGCCUGGCAGCCGAAGGAGAGGAAGAGAAGAAGCAGGGCUGAGGAACUGGAUCUGAACUGUGUUCAAAGGGAGCAGGAGUGCCGCCCAGGAUCAGAGGGCGAGUUGUCUACACCCAUUGAUGUCCCAGAGUCUGAGACCCAUGGCGCAGGAGAAUCAGGGCCUUGGGCUGGGAUCUGUCUCCCCUCACUGUUUCCUGUUCUCCCCCAGGCUCAAGAUCAAGGAGGCUGGUGCACACUCAGGAGACCUGGGUUCUGGUUCUGUUUUACUCGCUUCAACUGUUUAAUCUCUCUGAGCCUCAGUUUCCCCAUCAGAAAAACAAGGCAAGAAGUGGGACCACAUGGCCUUGGGCAUCCUGGGAUGCUAAGAAGACAGCGCCCCUCCACCUGUC
Manis javanica (Malayan pangolin) is the source of this 1950-nucleotide non-coding RNA. The record is from RefSeq and is a predicted model, not a curated record. Lineage: Eukaryota; Metazoa; Chordata; Mammalia; Pholidota; Manidae.